UACGAAGGGUGCAAGCGUUACUCGGAAUUACUGGGCGUAAAGCGUGCGUAGGUGGUUCGUUAAGUCCGAUGUGAAAGCCCUGGGCUCAACCUGGGAAUGGCAUGGGAUACUGGCGGGCUAGAGUGCGGUAGAGGGCAGUGGAAUUCCCGGUGUAGCAGUGAAAUGCGUAGAGAUCGGGAGGAACAUCUGUGGCGAAGGCGACUGCCUGGACCAGCACUGACACUGAGGCACGAAAGCGUGGGGAGCAAACAGG
Molecule: ribosomal RNA, 253 nt
Filed under: uncultured bacterium
Lineage: Bacteria
Also listed under: 1 other name
Description: partial 16S ribosomal RNA
Rfam family: Bacterial small subunit ribosomal RNA
Source: RNAcentral